This 483-nucleotide ribosomal RNA is filed under the name uncultured bacterium. RNAcentral's name for it is "partial 16S ribosomal RNA". It matches the Rfam family "Bacterial small subunit ribosomal RNA", at positions 28 to 507 of the family's 1533-position model. The record is from RNAcentral.
GACGAACGCUGGCGGCGUGCUUAACACAUGCAAGUCGAACGCUGAAGCUCAGCUUUUGUUGGGUGGAUGAGUGGCGAACGGGUGAGUAACACGUGAGUAACCUGCCUCCUUCUUUGGGAUAACGCCCGGAAACGGGUGCUAAUACUGGAUAUUCACUGGUCUUCGCCUGGGGGUUGGUGGAAAGGGCUUUUCUGGUGGGGGAUGGGCUCGCGGCCUAUCAGCUUGUUGGUGGGGUGAUGGCCUACCAAGGCUUUGACGGGUAGCCGGCCUGAGAGGGUGACCGGGCACAUUGGGACUGAGAUACGGCCCAGACUCCUACGGGAGGCAGCAGUUGGGAAUAUUGCACAAUGGGCGCAAGCCUGAUGCAGCGACGCCGCGUGAGGGAUGGAGGCCGUCGGGUUGUGAACCUCUUUCGCUCAUGGUCAAGCCGAAACAAUGGUUGUGGUGAGGGUAGUGGGUAAAGAAGCGCCGGCUAACUACGUG